GUGAAAUUUGAGGGCCAACAAAUAUGUUGUAUCGUGGAUGUCCCCCUUUACAUCAUUGUUUUAUGAAAUGCACUAACGCUCCUGGAAGGUUGUUCUGAGUAUAUUUGUAUAUUUUUUGCAACAAGUAUGAUUUGGUGUGAAGUUAUCCAAUGUCGUGUGAUGAACCUUGAUGUUUAGUAUUGAAUCAUUAGUAAGUGUUUAGUAACCUGCUUUUUUAGAUGUUACCUUUGUAGCGAAGUUGUUUUUGGCAUAACUUUAAUCUAUA
This 265-nucleotide ribosomal RNA is filed under the name Triticum aestivum (bread wheat). Its description in RNAcentral is "partial small subunit ribosomal RNA". Lineage: Eukaryota; Viridiplantae; Streptophyta; Magnoliopsida; Poales; Poaceae. The record is from RNAcentral.